CAGCAGCCGCGGUAAUACGAAGGGGGCUAGCGUUGCUCGGAAUUACUGGGCGUAAAGCGCACGUAGGCGGCUCUUUAAGUCGGUGGUGAAAUCCUGGAGCUCAACUCCAGAACUGCCUUCGAUACUGAUAGCUUGAGUACGGGAGAGGUGAGUGUGAACUGCGAGUGUAUAGGUGAAAUUCGUACAUAUUCGCAAGAACACCAGUGGCGAAAGCGGCUCACUGGCCCGGUACUGACGCUCAGGUGCGAAAGCGUGGGGAGCAAACAGGAUUAUAUACCCUGGUAGUCCACGCCGUAAACGAUGAAUGCUAUCCGUUGGCGAGCUUGCUCGUCAGUGGCGCACCUAACGCAAUAAGCAUUCCGCCUGGGGAGUACGGUCGCAAGGUUAAAACUCAAAGGAAUUGACGG
This 407-nucleotide ribosomal RNA is filed under the name uncultured bacterium. RNAcentral describes it as "bacterial SSU rRNA". It matches the Rfam family "Bacterial small subunit ribosomal RNA", at positions 509 to 916 of the family's 1533-position model. The record is from RNAcentral.